AAACGAAUACCGUGACAAUGUGAGGUGAUGUAAGAAUUGCUUUGCAAGUGCUAGAGAUCCGGAUGUAAUUCAGCAGCCUUUCUACCCGUCUUCAUUAGAUGCAUUAUUAACUUAGCUUCGACAUUUGAACUGUCAAUGUUAAUGUAACUGCCUGCUAAUUCUAUAUUUUUGUUUUGCCCGGCUUUGGCUUUGGGUUUACGGUAAACUUUCAAUGUCUGGAGAACGGUAAAGGUGUCCUUCCCCGCCCAAUCCAACUUUCGUACGGAUGGUCGUAGAGAGCCAGAAGUACGUCAAACAAGAGUUCACAUCACAGAGGACGAAUCAGGCACGAGCCCAAAGAAGUCUGGAGCGUCACGCAGCGGUGUGGACAGCUGGCCCCGGAACGGAACCAACACCGGCACGUGAAGGAGGCACGCCAAUAAAACACGUCAGUCAUAUCAUUCUUCAGUCUCCUGAUUGUGCCUGGCCUGCGGUCUCACGACUGCACACAUCCCGUGGAACCCAGCUCGAUGCUAGCGCAGCACGGACCGCAUCCGCGCCGGGAUUGGAACCGGAGUCCCCCAGUCUACGGGCGUGGGGACAGGACGAGGUGGGCGGCCCCGGGGGCGUUGUACUGUACGACCAUCCACUCCGUGCACAAGUGCUCGACGGCAGUUAGAGCUGAGGCCAGCAGA
This is a long non-coding RNA of Amphibalanus amphitrite, 674 nucleotides long. RefSeq lists it as uncharacterized. The record is from RefSeq and is a predicted model, not a curated record. Lineage: Eukaryota; Metazoa; Arthropoda; Thecostraca; Balanomorpha; Balanidae. The transcript has 3 exons.